CCUACGGGAGGCAGCAGUAGGGAAUCUUCCGCAAUGGACGAAAGUCUGACGGAGCAACGCCGCGUGAGUGACGAAGGUUUUCGGAUCGUAAAACUCUGUUGUGAGGGAAGAACAAGUACCACUUAACUACUGGUACCUUGACGGUACCUCGCCAGAAAGCCACGGCUAACUACGUGCCAGCAGCCGCGGUAAUACGUAGGUGGCAAGCGUUGUCCGGAAUUAUUGGGCGUAAAGCGCGCGCAGGCGGUCCCUUAAGUCUGAUGUGAAAGCCCACGGCUCAACCGUGGAGGGUCAUUGGAAACUGGGGGACUUGAGUGCAGAAGAGGAAAGUGGAAUUCCACGUGUAGCGGUGAAAUGCGUAGAGAUGUGGAGGAACACCAGUGGCGAAGGCGACUUUCUGGUCUGUAACUGACGCUGAGGCGCGAAAGCGUGGGGAGCAAACAGGAUUAGAUACCCUGGUAGUCCACGCCGUAAACGAUGAGUGCUAAGUGUUAGGGGGUUUCCGCCCCUUAGUGCUGCAGCUAACGCAUUAAGCACUCCGCCUGGGGAGUACGGCCGCAAGGCUGAAACUCAAAUGAAUUGACGGGG
Molecule: ribosomal RNA, 588 nt
Filed under: uncultured Caryophanaceae bacterium
Lineage: Bacteria; Bacillati; Bacillota; Bacilli; Caryophanales; Caryophanaceae
Description: bacterial SSU rRNA
Rfam family: Bacterial small subunit ribosomal RNA
Source: RNAcentral